UUCCCAGAGUCGAAGACGCGAGUAUAGCUUCUGCCCUGAGUCUGCCCUCUCCAUCAUUAUUGAAUUUUAUUAUUAUGUAUCAGCACGACUUUAAUUAAAUCUUCUUGUGAAAUCAGGAAAGUGGUGCGCGAAUCCUGCUUUACGAAACAAACUUGAAAUGAAAAUGAGCUCCUCGUGAAAAUUCAAUACAAACGGAUCGCAAUAUGAGCAUACCUGGAGAAGAAGAGAGCAGAAGGCGGAGAGAAGCGAGAUCCAAAUCUGGGGGAUCCGGCGAUCUGAGAGGCAGAAUAAUAAUGACAAGUGGAAGGAAGGAACUGGCGAUUAUAUGGAGAUUUGGUUUAGGGGAGUUUUUUUCAUACUCGGAAGCUUUCUCUUAUUGGGACGCUUGCUUGAAUGCGGAAUUCCCAACGACAAUACAUACAAAAGCAAGGAACCACAGAAGAAGAGCAAGAGAGGAAUAUUGAUUGGGGAGGAGAGUGUUACUGAGCGAGCGAGCGAGCGAGCGAGAACAACGGCUGCGUCUUUUAGAAAGAGUCCUUUUUAUUCCACUCUUUCCUCGGUGGCAAAA
Molecule: long non-coding RNA, 568 nt
Filed under: Linum usitatissimum (flax)
Lineage: Eukaryota; Viridiplantae; Streptophyta; Magnoliopsida; Malpighiales; Linaceae
Description: long non-coding RNA (LUSI_LNC008126)
Source: RNAcentral